CGCAUCUGUGCAUGCAGCAUAUCAAUAAGCGGAGGAAAAGAAACUAACAAGGAUUCCCCUAGUAACGGCGAGUGAAGCGGGAAGAGCUCAAAUUUGAAAUCUUAAAGGGUUUCCCUUUACGAAUUGUAGUUUAAAGAAGUGUUUUCUGUUGAGGUUUUGGUAAAAGUUCUUUGGAAUAGGACAUCAUAGAGGGUGAGAAUCCCGUAUUUGACCUUUACUUUCAACUUUGUGAUACACUUUCAAGGAGUCGGAUUGUUUGGGAAUGCAGUCCAAAAUGGGUGGUAAAUUUCAUCUAAAGCUAAAUAUUGGCGAGAGACCGAUAGCGAACAAGUACCGUGAGGGAAAGAUGAAAAGAACUUUGAAAAGAGAGUUAAACAGUACGUGAAAUUGUCAAAAGGGAAGCGUUUGACACCAGUGUUGUUUUUCUGAAAAUCAAUUAAAGAACUGUUUAUGCUAAGUUGUUUAGACUUUAUCAGCUAACUGUUUAGUUUUGAGCUUUUCUUUAAUGCACUUUUCAGUUAACAAGUCAACAUCAAUUUCUUUUGCUGUAAAAAAGCUUGAGGAAGGUGGCUUGAGAUUCGUCUUAAGUGUUUAUAGCCUCUUGCCUAUGCAGUCGGAGAGAUUGAGGUCUGCAGCGUAGAUCCUUCGGGGCUAAAUGCAUUUGUGCUAAGUUAUAACAUUUUAUAGACAACUUGUUGACUAUGAUUUGUCUUGUAGCUUACUCGCUUAUGUUAUUUUACCUACGCUUAGGAUGUUGACAGCAGUAUAGACUGU
RNAcentral lists this ribosomal RNA (774 nucleotides) under uncultured Neocallimastigales. Its description in RNAcentral is "partial large subunit ribosomal RNA". It matches the Rfam family "Eukaryotic large subunit ribosomal RNA", at positions 26 to 637 of the family's 3401-position model. Lineage: Eukaryota; Fungi; Neocallimastigomycota; Neocallimastigomycetes; Neocallimastigales. The record is from RNAcentral.